Molecule: ribosomal RNA, 425 nt
Filed under: uncultured bacterium
Lineage: Bacteria
Description: bacterial SSU rRNA
Rfam family: Bacterial small subunit ribosomal RNA
Source: RNAcentral
GAGGAAUAUUGCACAAUGGGCGAAAGCCUGAUGCAGCGACGCCGCGUGGAGGAUGAAGGUUUUAGGAUUGUAAACUCCUGUUAAGUGGGAAAAAAGAACUAUCUUUAAUAGAGAUGGGUGAUGAUGGUACCACUAGAGAAAGCACCGGCUAACUUCGUGCCAGCAGCCGCGGUAAUACGAGGGGUGCAAACGUUAUUCGGAAUCAUUGGGCGUAAAGGGUACGUAGACGGCAAAAUAAGUCAGUCAUUAAAUCUUCCAGCUUAACUGGAAGUCUGUGGCUGAAACUGAUUUGCUUGAGGGUGGAAGAGAGAAGCGGAAUUCUCGGAGUAGCGGUAAAAUGCGUAGAUCUCGAGAGGAACACCGAUGGCGAAGGCAGCUUCUUGGUCCACUUCUGACGUUGAGGUACGAAAGCGUGGGGAGCAAAC